GACCGUGUAGCUCAGUUGGUUAGAGCGUGGUGCUAAUACUGUCCCAGUGUAACGCCAAGGUCUUGGGUUCGACCCCCAACAUGGUCA
RNAcentral lists this transfer RNA (87 nucleotides) under Venturia inaequalis. RNAcentral's name for it is "tRNA-Ile". It matches the Rfam family "tRNA". From Rfam's summary of the family: Transfer RNA (tRNA) molecules are approximately 80 nucleotides in length. Their secondary structure includes four short double-helical elements and three loops (D, anti-codon, and T loops). The record is from RNAcentral. Lineage: Eukaryota; Fungi; Ascomycota; Dothideomycetes; Venturiales; Venturiaceae.